AUUUUUGUGAUCCAUCAUGUUCAUGAUGCUCUGCUCCAUGUGCAGCUUUAAUUCACUCAGAUUCAUCACCAUCCCCGUUUUCUCAUCAAUGGGUCCUCUGAUAGUGACUUCCACUAUGGUUUCAAACAAAAAGGGAUUCCUGGCCGUCAACGACGAAUGAGGCGUGUCCAACAUAGUCGGGAGACAGUGGAUUCCUCCUACAAUCUCACUACACUACUUGGAAGCUCGAGUGGGAGCGAACCUGGGGAAAAAGGUGAUUACAUCCGCCGUCACACCACGUUAUGAGGAAAGAAGGAGAUGAAGAAGCUGUCAGAAAUCCACCUACGAAAAAGAUACCGACCUUCAGUCUAUUUAAAUACCAUUACCUAGACGCAUCCGGCCAGCGACGAAAAUAUUUUCCUUCAUUUAUGUGAAGCCAACACAAGUGGAAGAGUCCGUAUGUGACCGAUAUGAAUAAUCCAGAACUGAUAAAAGGGACGUGAUUCACCGAGAUCUGUGAGAUCAAGUCAGCCAAGAGUUAUGCCGUGUACGUGUGACUUAUUCCCCUCUUUUUUUUUUCUUUUUUAGAAUAAGAUUGUGUCGUUGUGAGUCACCGGUACAACGUCAACGGGCUGACUCAACCGCCUUCAAGUGGGUGCACAAUCUGUUACGGCAACUGCCAUCGUCCGAAACAUCAGUCGUCGCCAACAAAUUGGAAGGCAAGUUUGAAUUUAUUUUAAAUGUUUCGUGUUGCCCGUAGCAACUUUAACAGAUGAUUGAGCAUUGCUGGGCAAAUCGUUGAGAUCCGCGAUUACCUUGCGUCAUCUUCCGGAAAAUUGUGAAACGAAUUAGCGGUUAACGCAGGUU
Long non-coding RNA from Daphnia carinata, 846 nucleotides. RefSeq lists it as uncharacterized. The transcript is spliced from 3 exons. The record is from RefSeq and is a predicted model, not a curated record. Lineage: Eukaryota; Metazoa; Arthropoda; Branchiopoda; Diplostraca; Daphniidae.